UGAAGAACGCAGCCAGCUGCGAUAAAUAGUGCGAAUUGCAGACACAUUGAGCACUAAGAAUUCGAACGCACAUUGCGCUAUCGGGUUCAUUCCCGAUGGCACGUCUGGCUGAGGGUCGAAUUGUGCUAGAGCAUCUUUGCAAUCACUUC
This 149-nucleotide ribosomal RNA is filed under the name Anisakis typica. Its description in RNAcentral is "5.8S ribosomal RNA". The stretch from base 1 to 118 matches the Rfam family "5.8S ribosomal RNA", at positions 37 to 154 of the family's 154-position model. Rfam says of the family: 5.8S ribosomal RNA (5.8S rRNA) is a component of the large subunit of the eukaryotic ribosome. It is transcribed by RNA polymerase I as part of the 45S precursor that also contains 18S and 28S rRNA. Functionally, it is thought that 5.8S rRNA may be involved in ribosome translocation. The record is from RNAcentral. Lineage: Eukaryota; Metazoa; Nematoda; Chromadorea; Rhabditida; Anisakidae. RNAcentral also lists the same sequence under 2 other names.